GACCAGCUCUACUGCCACCUGGGCAGAGUUUUGGAGAGCAGUUUUGCUUCCAUUGUCUUUCAUAUUCUUAUAGCUUGUGCUUCUUAUAUUCAGCCCUUCUUUCCAUGUCUUCCUUUCCUCAAAAAUGUUUCCACUGUGCUCCCCAGAUUCUUUGUUUUGUGGUAAACAAGCUCUCAUAUAUCUCACCCUGUCACCAAGUGCUACUUAUGCCUCCUUGCCCUACCUAACUUGGAUUUUCUCUAAGGGCACUGUUGGAGUAGUGGAGAGUGUAGGAUGCCCAUUCUAUUACAGGGACUGGAGAAGGGGCUGACAUCCUCUAGAUUUUCUGUGGAAGCUUCCAGGCUGCUGUUUGUCUUCCUUGCUGGAACCACCACUUUAACCCAUGUCAGAUGAAUCGAUCAGUUACCAUAGCUCAUCUCUGUUGCCUAGACACUGGUCAUGCCCCCAAAGUAAUCCAGGCCUUUUUGCCUGUAACACAUAUCUUUCCUUGCCACUAUUCAUGUCAUUGUCCUGGAGGGUUUCAAAGUCCACAUGGUUUAUUACUCAAACCAUUGGCCUAGCAGUUCCUGACUGUUUGAAACAUAAUGACCUUGACCUGCCUCCAUUUUAGUCAUCCUCUUUCAUGUCCACUCUCUAGACUUGUGCAGCCCAAUAUAGUAGCCACUAGCCACAGGUGAUUGUUGAAAUUUAAAUUAACUGAAAUUAAAUAAAAAUUUUACAUCAGCUCUCACUUGCACCAGCCACAUUUUACGUGCUCAGUAGCUACAUGUGGCUAGUGGCUAACGUAUCAGAUAGUGCAGACAGAGAAAAUUUCCAUCAUCACAGAGAGUUCCAUUAGAUAGCAUAGAUUCCAAGAUUGUCUUCACCCAGAAUAUGUUUCUGCUUCACUGCAGAAAUAUAUAAAAAGUAACCAAAUGUGGUAGCACGUGCCUAUAGUCACAGCUACUCAAGAGCCUGAAGCAGAAAAACCAUUUUAGGUCAAGGAGUUUGAGGCUAUAGUGCACUAUGAUCAUUCCUGUGAGUAGCCACUGUACUCCACCCUAUCUGUCUCUUAAAACAAAACAAAAACUGCACUCUAUUCUGGGCAACAGAGGGAGACCGAGUGUCAAAACCCAAAAACAAACAACAAAUAAGUGUACACAAAUUUAAAGACACAAAAAUAUUGCAUCAGGAAAAAUGGCAGAUAGGAGGCAGGACUAACUUGCAGCUCCCACUCAUAUGUACAGAGCAGUGCGCGGAGACUCAAAUUGUGAACUUUUGCUCCAAGAACUACUGCAGGAACAUACCAGGAAAGCUGAGAGAAUCCACAGCCCCUUUGAAAGCAGUGGCUUGCUGCUGCAGGCUCUGUGAGACAGAUGAAAACCUGUGAGUGCCCAAAAUGUGGGAAGGGGAACAUUUGCCCCCAAACACACAUCCUCACUGGGGAUCUUGAAGGUCCAGAUCACAGAAGAAGGAUUUGACCUUACCUGGAGCUGAGAUGAAUUUAGAGAGCUGAAUGAAAUACAGGGAUAUACAUUGGGAAGAGCCCUGUGAGCCCUCACAGUCCCUAGGGAAGCCAUUCCUCACUUUGUCUCACAGGAAUCCAUGGGGUGGACUGUCAGUGGAAUUGGGGAAAGCCAACAGGGAGAAGGAAACCUCUAGCUGAACUUCAUAACAAUUUCAACUGAAUGCAAAGUUUCAUGGGCAGAAUCCACAAGAUGGGGAAAACAGGAGUGUGCAUGGGAAACUGCGGCAGGAAGGGAGGCAUGAAAUCUGAAAGCCCUGCUUGCUUUCUCAGCGGGGAGGCUUGUAGCCUGGGGCAAGUUUUCAGCUCUGCUCACCAGCUGCCUGGGAAUAAAAUCAGUGCUGUUGGCAGGGGCAUGGUGGGAGUGCGACUGGCGUUUUGGGCUGUGUGGGAUCUUGGUGAGAUCUGUCACUGCUGGUUUCCCCCACUUCCCUGGUGACCUGUAUGACACAGCACAGAAAGCCAUAAUCCCCCUAGGAACGUAAUUCCAUUGACCCGAGAACCAGACUUCUAUCCACCACAGCAGCCACAGCAAACCCUGCCCAAGGAGAGUCUGAGCUCAGAUACAACCAACUCUGCCUCUACCUUAUGGUCUUUCUCAACCCACCUUGGUAGCUGAAGACAAAGGACAUAAUCUCGUGGAAGCUCUAUGGCCACACUCUCUGCCUUAGACACCCCGAAUACUUAUCCAGGUGACCGUAGGGCAAGCUUGUAUCCUCCCUAUACUACCGCAGCGAUGCUCUCUUGAAAGCACCACUUCCCGGCUGGAGACCAACCAACACAAAAUCAGAGCACUAAACAAAACUACAACCAAGGACCCUCACGGAGUCCACUUUACUCCCCUGCUACCACCAGUGGAGCAGGUGCACAAAUGUCUAACAAACAUAUGAAAAGAAUGCUCAACAUCACUAAUAAUUAUGAGAUGCAAAUCAAAACCAUGAUGUGAUACCACCUUACUCCUGCAAGAAUGGCCAUAAUCAAAAAAUUAAAAAACGAUGGAUGUUGGUGUGGAUGCAGUGAAAAGGGAACACUUUUACACUGCUGGUGAGAAUGUAAACUAGUCUACCCAUUAUGGAAAGCAGUCUGGAGUUUACUGAAAGAAUCAAAAGUAGAUCUACCAUUUGAUCCAGCAAUCCCACUAGUGGGUAUCUAUCCAGAGGAAAAGAAGUAAUUAUGCUAAAAAGAUACUUGCAUACAUAUAUUUGUAGCAGCACAAUUUGUAAUUGUAAAAAUGGAACCAGCUCAAAUUCCCAUCAGUCAACUAGUGGAUAAAGAAAAUGUGGUGCGGAAAGAUGGCAGAGGUGUAGGGGGCCGAGGUGAAAGUGGAUGGCACCAAGCUGAAACUGAGCUAGAAUGAGCUGAAGAGAUGCCUGAAAGCUGAGAAGAAAGUAGCAGAGAAGGAGGCCAAGCAGAAAGAGCUCAGUGAGAAACCCGAUGCUGCCACCAACCACACGGCUGACAAUGGUGUGGGUUCUGAGGAAGAGAGCCUGGACCCAAAUCAAUACUGCAAAAUCCACAGUCAGGCAAUUCAUCAACUGAAGGUCAAUGGGGAAGACCAAUACCCACACAAGUUCCAUAUAGACAUCUCACUCACCGACUUCAUCGAAGAAUAUAGUCACCACCUGCAGCCUGGGGAUCACCUGACUGACAUCACCUUAAGGGUGGCAGGUAGGAUUCAUGCCAAAAGAGCUUCUGGGGUAAAGCUCAUCUCCUAUGAUCUUCGAGGAGAGGGGUAAAGUUGCAAGUCAUGGCCAAUUCCAGAAUUAUAAAUUGGAAAAAUAAUUUAUUCAUAUUAAUAACAAACUGCAUCAGAGAGACAUAAUUGGAGUCGAGGGGAAUCCUGGGAAGACCAAGAAGGGUGAGCUGAGCAUCAUUCCAUAUGAGAUCACACUGCUGUCUCCCUGUUUGCAUAUGUUACCUCAUCUUCACUUUGGCCUCAAAGAAAAGGAAACAAGGUAUCGCCAGAGAUACUUGGACUUGAUCCUGAAUGACUUUGUGAGGCAGAAAUUUAUCACCCGCUCUAAGAUCAUCACAUAUAUAAGAAGUUUCAUGGAUGAGCUGGGAUUCCUGGGACCGAAACUCCCAUUAUGAACAUCAUCCCAGGGGGAGCUGUGGCCAAGCCUUUCAUCACUUAGCACAAUGAGCUGGACAUGAAUUUUUAUGUGAGAAUUGCUCCAGAACUCUACCAUGAGAUGCUUGUGGUUGGUGGCAUCGACCGGGUUUUUGAAAUUGGAUGCCAGUUCCGGAAUGAGGGGAUUGAUUUGAUGCACAAUCCUGAGUUCACCACCUGUGAGUUCUACAUGGCCUAUGCAGACUAUCACAAUCUCAUAGAAGUCAUGGAGAACAUGGUUUCAGUGAUGGUGAAGCAUGUUACGGGCGGUUACAAGGUCAUCUACCACCCAGAUGGCCCAGAGGGCCAGGCCUAUGAUAUUCACUUCACCCCACCCUUUCGGAGAAUCAGCAUGGUAGAAGAGCUUGAGAAAGCCUUGAGGAUGAAGCUACUAGAAACUAACCUCUUUGAAACUGAAGAAACUUGCAAAAUUCUUGAUGAUAUCUGGGGGGCAAAAGCUGUUGAAUGCCCUCCACCUCGGACCACAGCCAGGCUCCUUGACAAGCUUGUAGGGGAGUUACUGGAAAUGACUUGCAUCAAUCCUACGUUCAUUUUUGAUCACCCACAGAUAAUGAGCCCUUUGGCUAAAUGGCACUGCUCUAAAGAGGGUCUGACCGAGAGCUUUGAGCUAUUUGUCAUGAAGAGAUAGUCAAUGCCUACACUGAGCUGAAUGAUCCCAUCCAGCAGCGGCAGCUUUUUGAAGAACAGGCCAAGGCCAAGGCUGCAGGUGAUCAUGAGGUCAUGUUCAUAGAUGGAAACUUCUGUACCACCUUGGAAUAUGGGCUGCCCCCCAUGGCUGGCUGGGGCAUGGGCAUUGACCGAGUCGCCAUGUUUCUCAGGGACUCCAACAACAUGAAGGAAGUACUUCUGUUUCUUGCCAUGAAGCCCGAAGACAAGAAGGAGAAUGUAGCAACCACUGAUAUGCUAGAAAGUACAACAGUUGGCACUUUGGUCUAGAAAAUAAUAAUAGUUGCAAGUUGUAUAACUCAGGAGUCUUUGCAUUUCUGCAAAAGUUCAGGGCCCACAAAGGAAUUCUUAUGUGUGGCUUUCCAUUUGACUGCCGCAGUUUGGUUCAGCCAUCAGAAGAGAGACAAGGAAUUACAAAUGUCUUUUUAAUCCAUGUUACCAAAUAAA
Non-coding RNA from Callithrix jacchus (white-tufted-ear marmoset), 4748 nucleotides. Lineage: Eukaryota; Metazoa; Chordata; Mammalia; Primates; Cebidae. The record is from RefSeq and is a predicted model, not a curated record.